CACACUAUCACGUUUGAAUUCCAUCGCGCAUAAAAAUUUUUCCACACAACUGAGACGCAAAUCGAUUAACAGGCUUGUAAACAAUAAAAUUAUCUGUAAUGUUGCAAACUUUGAGCUCGCUAUCAUGAACGGUUUGGAAAUUAUAGCAGUCUGAAGUUGGUUGCAGUUCGAGUGCCUCACCCUGUAUAAACCCCCCCCCCCCCCAAAAAAAAUCGUAGUUACGCCACUGGUUAAGAGUGUAUUUAUUCAGAUAAGCAUAUACAUUGGUCACCCACAUGCGUAGGCGACACGCGCCACUGCGUAACUUGCGCUUUGAUAGCGCUACACCUCCGUUCUUACCGAAAAAGGAAAGUGUAUUACAAUGUUGUUGUAGCCGCCUCUGUUGCUGCCGUUAUUUUGCAUUUGUUCUCCAUAAUUGCUGUUGAAUGCUAACACUUGUUGUUCGUUUGUUUCUGUUCUUGAUUGGAUAAUGGAUUUGGCGACAACUUCCUUGGCGUCAUCGAACUUUGUUACCUAAAAUAUAGAUACAGUUCAAAUUCUCUCACAAUAUUUGGACGCUCAGCGUGUAAUAUAUAGGCAAUAUUUAGACGCUCAGCGUGUAAAGGGCUCGCCAGGGACACGAGAAAAAAACAUGUGUCUUACUGUGGAAUUGACAAAAACUCCAGAAAAAGCCCAAAUAAAGUAAAAUACAUCCAGAAAGAAAAUAGAUAUGUGACCUACAAACCAUGGUUUCAAUUAAACUCAUGUUUUAACUCUUUUUUUUCUACUUGCCAAUUUAAUAUUUAUUUAUAUCAGUAUUAUACGAGUAUAUGCUACUGAUGGUUUUCAAAAAUGAUUGCAUCGGUGGUUUGGAUUGGAAGAGUGGAAGUACAUCUUUUAGAUAGUAUAUUCAAUAUCCAGUCUAAACAUAAUCCAAUUGUUUUUCGACAACGAAUCACCAUUGGAAUUGUCGGUGGGGACACCCGUAUACGGCAAUAUACAUUAGGGUGUUUUUGGUUUUAAAUAAACAGAAAAUGGUAGUUUUAGUUUGAUAGAGCAGAGAAUUUGGAAUCGAUUUCAUAUAUUUUUGUCCGGAAUCAGUCCAAGAUGCCACUUCCCACAAGCAAAAAAAAUUUUCGUCGAAUUUUGAGGUUAUAUCACUAUUCGCUGAAACUAAUCUGAUAUUUUCCACUUUUUUCGAUUCAAUCUCACUGCCAGAGAUGAAUUCUCAAUGCAAACAUUUAUUUUCACGUAAUUUUCAUUGGAAUAAGUGGCCAAAUAGUCGAAAAUUCACACAAAUUGUAUAGCCUCUUUGACCGGUUCUUCAAUCAUAGAAAAAACACCGACAAACUCAUUUUUUCACAGAAAUUCAUUCAAUGGAUUUGAACUAGACGCUAAAUUAUCUAAAUCCACUAAAAUAUCCAUUCGAAAAAAAAAACAGGAAGGCCAAAUUGCAGCAAAACCAAAACGUAAACAAAAACGAGGUGUCAUUAUGAAAUUCGGGCUUAGUUUGAUGUUUGACAAGACCAAAAUACAUCUGCGCGAAUCACUGUGUGCGAAUUGACUGUGAUCUGUCUGGUUCGGGAUACUGGAACUAAUAUUGAAUGAAAGGCUAGCGACCAUGCGCAGUGAGUGAUAGUUAAAGAGUGACUUUAUUGAUGUUAAGGUACAUGUAUAUAUAGGCACGCUGAUGCGUGGUAUAUGCUUGCGUAAGCUACAGUAUAUGUUUGCGUGUACGCUACACCUCCUUUCCACAGAAGAAAAGAGUGUAUCACAAUGUUGUUCUUAUGUACUGAUAUACACUUUUCUAUCUUUUUUUCCUUCACCGUUUUUCAAUUUUUUUUGAUUUUUCAUGUAUAUUUUUUUAUUUUUUUUAUUUUAUUGUUUUUCAUUAUAUUUUUUAUGUGUUAAUAAAAUUCAGAAAGUUUUAA
Molecule: long non-coding RNA, 1910 nt
Organism: Sitodiplosis mosellana (orange wheat blossom midge)
Lineage: Eukaryota; Metazoa; Arthropoda; Insecta; Diptera; Cecidomyiidae
Exons: 2
Source: RefSeq, a predicted model, not a curated record